UACGGAGGGGGCUAGCGUUGUUCGGAAUUACUGGGCGUAAAGCGCACGUAGGCGGCUUUGUAAGUUAGAGGUGAAAGCCCGGGGCUCAACUCCGGAAUUGCCUUUAAGACUGCAUCGCUAGAAUUAUGGAGAGGUAAGUGGAAUUCCGAGUGUAGAGGUGAAAUUCGUAGAUAUUCGGAAGAACACCAGUGGCGAAGGCGACUUACUGGACACAUAUUGACGCUGAGGUGCGAAAGCAUGGGGAGCAAACAGG
Molecule: ribosomal RNA, 253 nt
Filed under: uncultured bacterium
Lineage: Bacteria
Description: partial 16S ribosomal RNA
Rfam family: Bacterial small subunit ribosomal RNA
Source: RNAcentral